This 1121-nucleotide long non-coding RNA is filed under the name Equus caballus (horse). RNAcentral's name for it is "lncRNA (ENSECAG00000045380.1)". Lineage: Eukaryota; Metazoa; Chordata; Mammalia; Perissodactyla; Equidae. The record is from RNAcentral.
GGCUCCUUCCCUUUUCUUUCUCCUUCCCUGUUUGUGAAAACAAAACACUUAGAAGAGUUUAAGAUGAGGGAAAGGAGAGUCACCCACCCGGUUCGCCAGUGUCCUGGUCUUCUCCACUUGUUAGAGCAGCUUUAGUUCUGGUCUUGGAGGACAGUUUGCAGUCAAUUCUUUGAUUGGAGAAAUGCCUUGCCUUGCACUUUACCAGGCUUUCCUGGUGAGCAAAUAAAUCCCUGAGGACAGGAGUAACAAUAAAGUCUACAAGACGCUGUGAUCAUGUCACUCUUCUGUUCAAACCCCUGUGAUGACUCCCCAUUUCAUUCAGAGUUAAAGUCAAAGUCCUUACAGCGGGAUGCAUGUGUGCUAUCAUAGACUGACGUGAAGAUGGACAGCCAUAUGCUCAGGCCUGCCCAUGAAAAACCCAAGAGGAUGAAACAGAGAACUCCCAGGCCUUGCCCUGUAGUCACAGAGAACGGGAGACUGCCUGACUGUGGGCAUCACAAGAAUUUCAAGGCCCAGAACUUGGAAGUUAGGCCUGAAGGGAAUGGCUCACAGCAUCUCAGAGUGAUCACCUUCUACGGUAGGCAAAGUUGUUUCUGAGCUGAUGUAAUUGGAACUAUAGUAGCAGGGAGUCUGUCAUUCUAUCCUCCUUUGACUUGGGGGAGAUCCUGCUCUGCAGAAUUGUCAAGAAAUGCGAACUUUGGGUGCACUCUGAAAGAUAUAAGUGCAGCAGUGGGAAGCCACAUUCACCCUCCUACAUCUGUAUCUUCUUUAUAUCCUUUGCUACUUGUUAGCUCAUCCAGAACUAUACCAAAGUAAUAUCAACUUGAAUGGAAGCCAAGACUUUCUUCUCUCCAGUCCCCAAACCCAGACCAAAUUCCGUGGUCUAGUUUUCAGCUUACAUUAUAUGAUCCAGCUCCAUUCUUACAGUAAGCACAUUCAAUAAAAGACGACAAAUAAUUAAAAUGCAAAAAAGAUGACGAUUUGUGCACAGUGAGAAUUAUUUUAAGAGAAGCCACAGGAAUAUGCUCCUGCCCUCAAAGAGCUGAUUUUCUAGUGAGGGGAACAAAAAGUAUAAAAACUAUUCCUGUCAAAAGCAAUGUCAAGGGGCCGGCCCGGUGGUG